Molecule: unclassified non-coding RNA, 264 nt
Filed under: Hevea brasiliensis (rubber tree)
Lineage: Eukaryota; Viridiplantae; Streptophyta; Magnoliopsida; Malpighiales; Euphorbiaceae
Source: RNAcentral
AUCUCCAGCUCAGCAUCAAAUGAUCCAUCUGGAUGGCGUCUGAGUAUCUCAGACCGCUGACACCACGGGACAAACCCAUGAUACAAGUCAACCGCAGCAACCACAUCAAAUAACUGCUCUGGAGAAUACCCCAAAACACGCCUCUCUUCAUAAACCUUGGAUAAAACACCACCUUCCUCCCCGUCUCCGCAGCCAAGAAACCGUCUCUUUUGAGACGCAGUAGUCUUAUUGUAUAAGCUUCCCAAUGUGAAACUAAAAUCCGUC